Molecule: long non-coding RNA, 833 nt
Filed under: Sarcophilus harrisii (Tasmanian devil)
Lineage: Eukaryota; Metazoa; Chordata; Mammalia; Dasyuromorphia; Dasyuridae
Description: lncRNA (ENSSHAG00000024078.1)
Source: RNAcentral
GGGAAACAUGGGAGCGAUCCCACAGUGGGACGGGCGUGGCAGAGGAGGGAGGAGCACUUGUUUGGGUAAGGCUUGCCUUACCUGUGGAAGGGAAAGAGAGCACAUAAAUGGAAGAAGGUGAGCAGGUGGACUUUCCCUCUGACCUGGAGGAGCAGGAGCUCGGGGAAGAUGUGGAUGGUGUUUUUGCUGAGUUGCCUCUCUAGUGCCCGCACACAGUAGGGGUAGCGAUGACUGGAUGAACAUGGAGAGGGAGGAGGGACUCGGGCCCUUCCUUUGGCCUCAGGGCCUUUCCUGGGGACCUGUUUCUGCUCAUGGACUCCUUCUGCCUUCCCCAGUCUUCACUCAUCUCUGCUCUUACAGCUAGCUCCAAAGGCAACCAAAGAUGUCUCUGGUGAAGGGGAGAAGAAGCCCCCUCAGGUGGGCAAAGCCUCUGCGCCCACACCUGUGGAGAAGCCACAGACCCCAGCUGAGCCCAAGGUGAGGGAACAGAAGAAGCGGCCGCCCAAGGAGAAGCCGCUGCCCGGGCCGGCCCCACCCCUGCAGCUCUCGGGGGAGCAGGUGCGCAGCGCUGUGGCUGACUCCCUGAGGGAGGUGCUCUUGAAACGGUGAGGCUCUUUGCAAUCUCCCUGGGGACCCCGGAGUCCCCGGGGUCGCCCCCAGUUCCCAUGUUCUGGUUGUAGAAUGGCAGAUUAGAACCGUCCAUCUGACCCCCCUUUAGAGAGAGGGAAAUGGGGACCUGGGCAUUCAUGACAUCAUGAGAUAGGGGCACCUGCUGCUGCUUGGGGGGGUGGGGCCACAGGCUCCCUGGGACAGGGCACAGAGGCCAUGGGGAC